UAGGAUCGAACCAUAGCUUCCUUGCUUCACCCUCAUUUACUUCACAAGAUUAGCUCUCUAAAACUCUAAUAAAAUUCUAUGCCUUCAGCAUUAUUUCUUGCUAUGGCAAAUGCGAGAUGCAAUUGUUUGUUUUUUUUAACUAAUAAUACUUUUUUUUGUCCCAUGAAGUACUUUUUUUAGCCGAGGGACGGAGCUUGGAAUUGAAGAAUAAUUUAGAGGCUGUGAAUUUAAUGUUGAGUCUUGAUGGGAAGGUCAGCAUUAAUAUUGUAAAACCCGUAGUGGACAAUGUAGCUAUCCCGAGCCCCUUACAACACGUUUUCAGGUCCUUAAAAGAACGUGCAGACCCUCGACCCACAACCCUUAGACAUAGCCCUGGCGUCGGCUAUUAAUCCAUUAACCAGUAAGAUAUAUUGUAUUUGUGAUAGUUGACAAUUACAAAGGGUCGUCGGGUCGACUUGACCG
Non-coding RNA from Durio zibethinus, 462 nucleotides. The record is from RefSeq and is a predicted model, not a curated record. NCBI's taxonomy places the organism in Eukaryota, Viridiplantae, Streptophyta, Magnoliopsida, Malvales, Malvaceae.